RNAcentral lists this ribosomal RNA (252 nucleotides) under uncultured bacterium. Its description in RNAcentral is "partial 16S ribosomal RNA". It matches the Rfam family "Bacterial small subunit ribosomal RNA", at positions 524 to 776 of the family's 1533-position model. The record is from RNAcentral.
UACGAAGGGGGCUAGCGUUGCUCGGAAUCACUGGGCGUAAAGCGCACGUAGGCGGCAUCUUAAGUCGGGGGUGAAAUCCUGGAGCUCAACUCCAGAACUGCCUCGAUACUGGGAUGCUCGAGUCCGGGAGAGGUGAGUGGAACUGCGAGUGUAGAGGUGAAAUUCGUAGAUAUUCGCAAGAACACCAGUGGCGAAGGCGGCUCACUGGCCCGGUACUGACGCUGAGGUGCGAAAGCGAGGGGAGCAAACUGG